RNAcentral lists this ribosomal RNA (498 nucleotides) under uncultured bacterium. Its description in RNAcentral is "partial 16S ribosomal RNA". It matches the Rfam family "Bacterial small subunit ribosomal RNA", at positions 30 to 523 of the family's 1533-position model. The record is from RNAcentral.
AUUGAACGCUGGCGGCAUGCUUUACACAUGCAAGUCGAACGGUAACAGGCCGCAAGGUGCUGACGAGUGGCGAACGGGUGAGUAAUGCAUCGGAACGUGCCCAGUCGUGGGGGAUAACGCAGCGAAAGCUGUGCUAAUACCGCAUACGAUCUAUGGAUGAAAGCGGGGGACCGUAAGGCCUCGCGCGAUUGGAGCGGCAGAUGUCAGAUUAGGUAGUUGGUGGGGUAAAGGCUCACCAAGCCAACGAUCUGUAGCUGGUCUGAGAGGACGACCAGCCACACUAGGACGGAGACACGGCCCAGACUCCUACGGGAGGCAGCAGUGGGGAAUUUUGGACAAUGGGCGCAAGCCUGAUCCAGCAAUGCCGCGUGCAGGAAGAAGGCCUUCGGGUUGUAAACUGCUUUUGUACGGAACGAAAAGGUUUGGGUUAAUACCCUGGGCCGAUGACGGUACCGUAAGAAUAAGCACCGGCUAACUACGUGCCAGCCGCCGCAGUAA